ACAAAGAUAAAAACGCAUCGCGCACCUGUCCGGUGCGCCAGAGCUGGUCGGUAGCCCAGCCGUCUGAAGCGAACGCUUCAGGUAAGUAACCUGCCCCUCCGGGUUGUCCGUUCUUUGUAA
This 120-nucleotide non-coding RNA is filed under the name pig gut metagenome. RNAcentral describes it as "yjdF RNA". It matches the Rfam family "azaaromatic riboswitch aptamer (yjdF RNA)", at positions 5 to 92 of the family's 101-position model. The record is from RNAcentral.